RNAcentral lists this ribosomal RNA (700 nucleotides) under uncultured bacterium. RNAcentral describes it as "bacterial SSU rRNA". It matches the Rfam family "Bacterial small subunit ribosomal RNA", at positions 8 to 756 of the family's 1533-position model. The record is from RNAcentral.
AGAGUUUGAUCAUGGCUCAGAACGAACGCUGGCGGCAGGCUUAACACAUGCAAGUCGAGCGCGUAGCAAUACGAGCGGCAGACGGGUGAGUAACGCGUGGGAAUCUACCCAUCUCUACGGAACAACUCCGGGAAACUGGAGCUAAUACCGUAUACGUCCUUCGGGAGAAAGAUUUAUCGGAGAUGGAUGAGCCCGCGUUGGAUUAGCUAGUUGGUGGGGUAAUGGCCUACCAAGGCGACGAUCCAUAGCUGGUCUGAGAGGAUGAUCAGCCACACUGGGACUGAGACACGGCCCAGACUCCUACGGGAGGCAGCAGUGGGGAAUAUUGGACAAUGGGCGCAAGCCUGAUCCAGCCAUGCCGCGUGAGUGAUGAAGGCCCUAGGGUUGUAAAGCUCUUUCACCGGUGAAGAUAAUGACGGUAACCGGAGAAGAAGCCCCGGCUAACUUCGUGCCAGCAGCCGCGGUAAUACGAAGGGGGCUAGCGUUGUUCGGAAUUACUGGGCGUAAAGCGCACGUAGGCGGAUACUUAAGUUAGGGGUGAAAUCCCAGAGCUCAACUCUGGAACUGCCUUUAAUACUGGGUAUCUCGAGUCCGAGAGAGGUGAGUGGAAUUCCGAGUGUAGAGGUGAAAUUCGUAGAUAUUCGGAGGAACACCAGUGGCGAAGGCGGCUCACUGGCUCGGUACUGACGCUGAGGUGCGA